Molecule: ribosomal RNA, 400 nt
Filed under: uncultured bacterium
Lineage: Bacteria
Description: bacterial SSU rRNA
Rfam family: Bacterial small subunit ribosomal RNA
Source: RNAcentral
GGGGAAUAUUGGACAAUGGGGGCAACCCUGAUCCAGCAAUGCCGCGUGAGUGAUGAAGGCCUUAGGGUUGUAAAGCUCUUUUGCCAGGGAAGAUGAUGACUGUACCUGGAGAAUAAGCCCCGGCUAACUUCGUGCCAGCAGCCGCGGUAAUACGAAGGGGGCUAGCGUUGUUCGGAAUUACUGGGCGUAAAGGGCGCGUAGGCGGCCGUUUAAGUUAGGUGUGAAAGUCCUGGGCUCAACCUGGGGACUGCACUUAAUACUGGAUGGCUUGAAUUCGGGAGAGGAUAGCGGAAUUCCCAGUGUAGAGGUGAAAUUCGUAGAUAUUGGGAAGAACACCGGUGGCGAAGGCGGCUAUCUGGACCGACAUUGACGCUGAGGCGCGAAAGCGUGGGGAGCAAAC